Molecule: ribosomal RNA, 253 nt
Filed under: uncultured bacterium
Lineage: Bacteria
Description: partial 16S ribosomal RNA
Rfam family: Bacterial small subunit ribosomal RNA
Source: RNAcentral
UACAGAGGGGGCAAGCGUUGUUCGGAAUUACUGGGCGUAAAGGGCGCGUAGGCGGCCUGCUAAGUCGAACGUGAAAUCCCCGGGCUCAACCCGGGAACUGCGUCCGAUACUGGUAGGCUUGAAUUCGGGAGAGGGAUGCGGAAUUCCAGGUGUAGCGGUGAAAUGCGUAGAUAUCAGGAGGAACACCGGUGGCGAAGGCGGAUCUCUGGGCCUUGCCUGACGCUGAGGCGCGAAAGCUAGGGGAGCGAACAGG